Long non-coding RNA from Mauremys mutica (yellowpond turtle), 1381 nucleotides. RefSeq lists it as uncharacterized. NCBI's taxonomy places the organism in Eukaryota, Metazoa, Chordata, Testudines, Geoemydidae. The transcript is spliced from 3 exons. The record is from RefSeq and is a predicted model, not a curated record.
AAGGUCUGGCUGUUCUUGAGCACUCUCUGAAUGGUAAAGUGGACACCAUUGAUAGCAGCCAUGAUGUGAGGACUCCACAGUAAUGAAGGAGAGAAGGGAACCACCUCAGACUUGUUCAGGACUUUGUACCAGCUGAGAAUCACCCAUGAAGGGAAGAAGUCAGAAGCCCAUACAGCUCAUGGAUACAGUGUCCCCUGCCCCUUUCUUCUGUGCAAAUCCAGUCCAGGGUCCAUCUUGUCCCCAUUCACCAAGAAGCCAGCAGAAGCCUUCCAGAUUUACCAAACAGAGCUUACGUCAACUAAUUCCAUUGAGAGCCAAGUCUUGCUCCUCCCCACCACACGCCCCACCCUGCUGGAGUGGACAGCAGGUUUAUCCAUGACUACGAUGGAUAUUGUGAGGCCAAAUCUCCAGUUCCUGAGGUCACUCGCUCCCCUGCAGCAGAAUGACACCCUAAGAAUUGUAUUCUCCUGUAGUUGCCACCAGUGGGUGCCCUCCCCCCCCAGCCCCUUGAUGGAGUGCAGUUCUAGGGAGUUGCCACACAACAGAGUUAGCCAGUCAGAAUUAUUUUCUGAGCAAGAAUGUCCCUGUGCUGAUGUGAAGAGGGGACAAUAUUGUGGAGAUUCUUUAGCAACUAAGGGUUUGCCCAAUAUCCCAUCUUAACUUUUGACCCAGUUUGUCAGUACUAAUCUGUUAAACGGGUCUUUACCUUUUAGAAGGUGUUUUUACUGUGCACCAGCAAGUGUCGGCUGCAUGGGAGGAACAGGACCAAAUGGUAGCUGACUCUCUGUAACUACUUUGUCUCUAUAGAAAAUGCAACUGCACUCUGAUAACCAUCUUUCAAAACUGUCAGCUCAUACUUAAUCAAGCUGCCCUGUUCCCAUCUUUUUUUAAUGAGCUAUUCCUAAGGCACCAAGGGGCCAACUUAGAAGAAGCUAACUUCUAUGAUGUACUGUACCUCAUAGAAAGCAUUUCUGCCUAUCAUCCAACUUCAUGAUUAACCUAGCAACAGAAUUGCUUUGCAGCCUUCCCGAGCCCCAGGAAUGCUGUAGAAAGCACUCAUUUGGAAGACAGCCAUUUUCACCAUUUGCAACUAUUUUUUUUAAAGAAAAAAAUAGUUCGUUCUUAAUUCAUAUGCACAGUAAUGCUUAUUUGAUCGCCUGGCAACAAACUGGAGGCUUACAGGGUGUGUAGUGGAAUUCAAAUACCCCAUAAGCUUUGGUUGCCUUUUCAGGUGGCUAACAAAAUCAUGCAUACUAGAUUCAGGUUAAUUACAGGUUUCAGAUUAGCAGCCAUGUUAGUCUGUAUCCGUGAAAAGAACAGGAGUACUUGUGGCACCUUAAAGACUAACAAAUUUAUUUGAGCAUAAGCUUUUGUGGGCUAC